RNAcentral lists this ribosomal RNA (497 nucleotides) under uncultured bacterium. RNAcentral describes it as "partial 16S ribosomal RNA". It matches the Rfam family "Bacterial small subunit ribosomal RNA", at positions 28 to 507 of the family's 1533-position model. The record is from RNAcentral.
GACGAACGCUGGCGGCGUGCCUAAUACAUGCAAGUUGAGCGCUGAAGGUUGGUACUUGUACCAACUGGAUGAGCAGCGAACGGGUGAGUAACGCGUGGGGAAUCUGCCUUUGAGCGGGGGACAACAUUUGGAAACGAAUGCUAAUACCGCAUAAAAACUUUAAACACAAGGUUUAAGUUUGAAAGAUGCAAUUGCAUCACUCAAAGAUGAUCCCGCGUUGUAUUAGCUAGUUGGUGAGGUAAAGGCUCACCAAGGGGAUGAUACAUAGCCGACCUGAGAGGGGGGUCGGCCACAUUGGGACUGAGACACGGCACAAACUCCUACGGGAGGCAGCAGUAGGGAAUCUUCGGAGAUGGACGAAAGUCUGACCGAGCAACGCCGCGUGAGUGAAGAAGGGUUUCGGAUCGUAAAAAUCUGUUGGUAGAGAAGAACGUUGGUGAGAGUGGAAAGCUCAUCAAGUGACGGUAACUACACAGAAAGGGACGGCUAACUACGUG